RNAcentral lists this ribosomal RNA (463 nucleotides) under uncultured bacterium. RNAcentral's name for it is "partial 16S ribosomal RNA". It matches the Rfam family "Bacterial small subunit ribosomal RNA", at positions 28 to 507 of the family's 1533-position model. The record is from RNAcentral.
GACGAACGCUGGCGGCGUGCUUAACACAUGCAAGUCGAACGGUGAACCUCUUCGGAGGGGAUCAGUGGCGAACGGGUGAGUAACACGUGGGCAACCUGCCCCCGGCUCUGGGAUAACUCCAAGAAAUUGGGGCUAAUACCGGAUGUUCACCGCUUCCCGCAUGGGUGGUGGUGGAAAGGGUUUCCGGCUGGGGAUGGGCCCGCGGCCUAUCAGCUUGUUGGUGGGGUAGUGGCCUACCAAGGCGACGACGGGUAGCCGGCCUGAGAGGGUGACCGGCCACACUGGGACUGAGACACGGCCCAGACUCCUACGGGAGGCAGCAGUGGGGAAUAUUGCGCAAUGGGCGGAAGCCUGACGCAGCGACGCCGCGUGGGGGAUGACGGCCUUCGGGUUGUAAACCUCUGUCAGCAGGGACGAAGCGCAAGUGACGGUACCUGCAGAAGAAGCACCGGCCAACUACGUG